RNAcentral lists this transfer RNA (73 nucleotides) under Schistocerca americana (American grasshopper). Its description in RNAcentral is "tRNA-Thr". It matches the Rfam family "tRNA". From Rfam's summary of the family: Transfer RNA (tRNA) molecules are approximately 80 nucleotides in length. Their secondary structure includes four short double-helical elements and three loops (D, anti-codon, and T loops). Lineage: Eukaryota; Metazoa; Arthropoda; Insecta; Orthoptera; Acrididae. The record is from RNAcentral.
GUCCGGAUAGCGCAGUGGUUACGCACUUGCCUAGUAAGCAGGAGAUCCCGGGUUCGAGUCCCGGCCCGGUACA